RNAcentral lists this ribosomal RNA (1424 nucleotides) under metagenome. RNAcentral describes it as "bacterial LSU rRNA". It matches the Rfam family "Bacterial large subunit ribosomal RNA", at positions 1484 to 2925 of the family's 2925-position model. The record is from RNAcentral.
AGCGGGAGCCGGGAAUGGAAAGCCCGGUACAAGCGAGGUACCAGUACGGUAGGAAAAUCCGCCGUGCAAUGGGAAGACGUGAUGUGGAGUGAAAUAUAGUAACGAAGCCCGUGAGCCAUGCGUCAAGAAAAGCCGCUAUUGUUUAUACUGUACCCGUACCGUAAACCGACACAGGUGGAUGAGGAGAGAAUCCUAAGGCCGGCGGAAGAAGUAUUGCCAAGGAACUCGGCAAAAUGGCCCCGUAACUUAGGCAGAAGGGGUGCCUGCGAGAGCAGGCCGCAGAGAAUAGGCUCAAGCAACUGUUUAGCAAAAACACAGGUCUAUGCGAAACCGAAAGGUGAGGUAUAUGGGCUGACGCCUGCCCGGUGCUGGAAGGUUAAGAGGAGAGGUUAGACGCAAGUCGAAGCUUUGAAUUUAAGCCCCAGUAAACGGCGGCCGUAACGAUAACGGUCCUAAGGUAGCGAAAUUCCUUGUCGGGUAAGUUCCGACCCGCACGAAAGGCGUAAUGAUUUGAGCGCUGUCUCGGCAAUACAUCCGGUGAAAUUGAAGUGCCAGUGAAGAUGCUGGCUACCCGCGCCAGGACGGAAAGACCCCAUGGAGCUUUACUCCAGUUUGGCACUGGGGUCCGGUGUUGCAUGUACAGGAUAGGUGGGAGGCUGAGAGAUAGUGACGUCAGUUGCUAUGGAGCCGCUGUUGGGAUACCACCCUUGUGAUAUUGGGCUUCUAACCAGCCGCCGUAAACCGGCGGUGGGACAAUGCCAGGCGGGGAGUUUGACUGGGGCGGUCGCCUCCGAAAGGGUAUCGGAGGCGCCCAAAGGUUCCCUCAGAAUGGACGGAAACCAUUCGAAGAGUGCAAAGGCAGAAGGGAGCUUGACUGCGACACCGACGGGUGGAGCAGGUACGAAAGUAGGGCUUAGUGAUCCGGUGGUAUUAAGUGGGAAUGCCAUCGCUCAACGGAUAAAAGCUACCCUGGGAUAACAGGCUUAUCACUCCCAAGAGUUCACAUCGACGGAGUGGUUUGGCACCUCGAUGUCGGCUCAUCGCAUCCUGGGGCUGUAGUAGGUCCCAAGGGUUGGGCUGUUCGCCCAUUAAAGCGGUACGCGAGCUGGGUUCAGAACGUCGUGAGACAGUUCGGUCCCUAUCCGGCGUGGGCGCAGGAUAUCUGAGAGGAGCUGUCCUUAGUACGAGAGGACCGGGAUGGACGGACCGCUGGUGGACCGGUUGGCUUGCCAAAGCCAUGGCCGGGUAGCCAAGUCCGGAAGGGAUAAACGCUGAAGGCAUCUAAGCGUGAAGCCCCCCUCAAGAUGAGAUAUCCCAUUCUUUAAGAAGUAAACCCCCUUGAAGACGACGAGGUAGAUAGGGCAGAGGUGGAAGUGUGGUAACACAUGGAGCUGACUGUUACUAAUCGGGUGAGGGCUUGACCA